This is a long non-coding RNA of Salvelinus sp. IW2-2015, 1238 nucleotides long. RefSeq lists it as uncharacterized. The record is from RefSeq and is a predicted model, not a curated record. NCBI's taxonomy places the organism in Eukaryota, Metazoa, Chordata, Actinopteri, Salmoniformes, Salmonidae.
GAUGGCGGAGGUUGGGCCCGGGAAGCUCCCCGGUGCGGGGCGAGAUGGAGCCGGAGCUCCCCCGGUGCGGGGCGAGAUGGAGCCGGGAGCUCCCCCGGUGCGGGGCGAGAUGGAGCCGGUGAUGAAGUCUUAGGUGGGGCAAUUAGACUGGACAUCAUCCUAUCUCGGAACCGGAGAACCAGGGGAGAGAGGUGGGACAGGCCUCGGGGACAGCCUGGAAGUGCUGCUGUUGUAAGGAAGGUAGGAAGGGUAGCUGAAGUUGCUAUCCUGUAUGCUGCCUCUAAUUCAUGUCCUUCGCKGCAUCAGCAGGCUGAAGUGUGGAAAUUACAUUUCAGCUGCAUGUCGGAGGCCGCCUGUCUGAUUAAUCACUUGUCAAACGUCUGAAUGGUCACUGAUCAAGGACUGGACAGACUAUAAUGAACUAUAGCUUAGACAGGACCGGACUGAACACAAGAACUGGUACCUAACUCUCAUUGAGAGGAAGUGGAGGUGUUUUCUCACUGAGGGGCAGUACAGUGCAUCUGAAAAUGACAAGAUGGAGAAUGGCUCUACUAUGGCACUAUUAAAGGGCACUUUCCCAAACACAGACUAAAAUGAGUCAUGGACUUAUAAAAGCAUGUUCAAAAGACAAUCUCCUUGUACUUCGACUUUCAUCCAGGACUCGGGUUAAUCUAUGUCCAGGAAACAGGCCCGUAGAGUACAUGAAUAUAUUAAUGAUGUGUUUUUGUUGUUCAAUGUUUCCGUGCACUGAUUUCUAUGAAAUGUUCAUAUCCCAUUUUCCACAUCUUUCUGAAGUGCACUUUAUUACUGUMUUCCAUGUUGUGGUGUUUGCCCAUUCACUGUUCCUGUUGUUUUUGUUUACACUGUAGAGGACCCCAGGACACUUGAUUCUAGAGAAUAUAGGCKAUUUUUUAAGGAUAUAUAUGCAAAGUGACCAAAUAAUUGCAGGGUAUGCCUUUUUUAAGCAUAUUUGCACUUUUGACCACACAAAAGACAAGUGUUAUACCUCAUAUUUGAAACGUUUGUUUUUUAUGGACAUAUGUAAACAAUUUUUAAAAAUUACUUUAUGCCAAAUAAUAUUGUGCAAUCUAAUUAAUUAUAUUUGUGGAAUAUUUGAAUCACUUGGUAGUUUCAGACACUCGUGUGUGUUAAAAUAAAUGUAUUAAAAUGUUUACAAUGCUGCAGGUGGAAAAUAUGUUUUGUUUACGUUUGUCAAGCAAUAAAAGUUAUACAACUUC